Tympanuchus pallidicinctus (lesser prairie-chicken) is the source of this 637-nucleotide long non-coding RNA. RefSeq lists it as uncharacterized. NCBI's taxonomy places the organism in Eukaryota, Metazoa, Chordata, Aves, Galliformes, Phasianidae. The transcript is spliced from 3 exons. The record is from RefSeq and is a predicted model, not a curated record.
CAGUGCGUGCAGUUGGGAUGAGCUCGAGACGGUGGCUUUGGGUUUAGACUGCGCAGUACUGUGGAAGCUGAAGGGGAAUCAGCUGCAGCGAGUUACAAAGGUGUCUCCAGACUGAAAAUGGGACCCUUGUCCCACUGCAAGUGGUGCGCUGCUCAAAACACACCCUGGGGAAGUUCUCCCUUCAAACAGCCCUUCCAGUGACAUUUAUGGCCUCUAGAACAAUCAGAGGUGACACUGAUCUUGCCAGGAGUGGAUGAAUGCUGUUUGUCCCAAAAAGCAGAAUCAAGAGAGAAAAACCACCUUUCAUCCUCACAAUGCAGAAGCCUCCCCUAAAAAGCAAGCAAACAAACAAAAAAACAAAAUCCCAACAUCGAAAGCUGUGACUCUCCAACCUCUGCUGAUCUGGACGUUGCAUAAAGUUCAUGAAAUGUGUGAGCAGUCCUACUGAAAGCCCACGGAAGGGACCCUGGGAGGCAGCGCGCAGCAGAUAGAGCCAUCCGCCCAGAGCUUCGCAGCACUAUGGAAGAAAAAUCUCUAUAAAACGAAAUAGGCAAUCAACUGAAAUCUAUCCUCUUUAAAUAAACUGAUUCCUUAGUAUUUUCCCAGUGUUGCUGUAAGUUGUUGUCUGUGAUGUCCC